AACGCGAAGAACCUUACCAACCCUUGACAUCCCCGGACCGCUGGAGAGAUCCAGCUUCCCCGUAAGGGGCCGGGUGACAGGUGCUGCAUGGCUGUUGUCAGCUCGUGUCGUGAGAUGUUCGGUUAAGUCCGGCAACGAGCGCAACCCACACCCUUAGUUGCCAGCAUUCAGUUGGGCACUCUAGGGGAACUGCCCGUGAUAAGCGGGAGGAAGGUGUGGAUGACGUCAAGUCCUCAUGGCCCUUACGGGUUGGGCUACACACGUGCUACAACGGCAUCUACAGUGGGUUAGUCCCCAAAAGAUGUCUCAGUUCGGAUUGGGGUCUGCAACUCGACCCCAUGAAGUCGGAAUCGCUAGUAAUCGCGGAUCAGCAUGCCGCGGUGAAUACGUUCCCGGGUCUUGUACACACCG
RNAcentral lists this ribosomal RNA (411 nucleotides) under uncultured bacterium. Its description in RNAcentral is "bacterial SSU rRNA". It matches the Rfam family "Bacterial small subunit ribosomal RNA", at positions 958 to 1392 of the family's 1533-position model. The record is from RNAcentral.